CUCUCUCUCUCUCUCUCUCUUUCUUGAUCAAUCAAUCUUGCUCAUUCUAUAUCUGCGGCUCUCUAUAAUCUAGACUCACUCUCUGUAUCUCUUGAUCCUUCAAUCUCAUCGAGAGUCUUGAUUAUUGAAUCUGAUCGAGACUCUGUCUCUUCAGUAUCAGUAUCGAUCCCAUCUGACAAUCAGACGUUCCUGUCGCGCUGAAUCUUCUCUUCUUUCGCUCAGUUCGGUGAGUUUUGUUUCUUCAUGAUCUUGUUUCAGUUCUAUAGUCUCAUGGUGUUUGUUUGAUGAUUUGUUUCAGUUCCCUUGUUUGAUUUGUCAAUCUAGUACAUAUUGUUUCAUAUAGAAAACACUACUAUUUUAUGUCUUCUUUUCUAUUGUUAUGAUUCAUGAUUGGUAAUCUGUGAAUCAUAGAUAACAUGUGAAUCAUAGAUUUCAUAGAUUGUUUCAUGAAAGAAGUAGUUUAACUCAUGUAAUUGAGUAGACCAAUCAAUAUAACACAAGCAGUUCGUCAUUGCUUAAUAAGUCUACUAUUUUUUCGUAAUUUUCUACUUUAUAUACAGUACACAUCUUAAUAACAAAGUAAUCGUAUUUACUAAUAUUGAAGUUGAAACACAGAUACAACCAGCGAUGGAUGCGUCUGAGAAUGGAAAACAGCCGAAUAAGAGUGUAGAGGAUGUAGCAGUAGAUGUUCCCGGAUUUGGAAGCCUGACGAUCACCGAUGUGCGAGCUUUGACCUUCGAAACAGUGGAUGAGGCAGAGAGAUUCUACCCUGCAUAUUCAGCAGCAGUUGGAUUUGGAUGUAGGAAGGAUGACAAGGAAGAGUCUAACGGUUUGAUUUGGUGGAGGCAGUGGGUCUGCUGCAAGGAAGGGACUCGAGAUAAAAAGUACUUGGAAGUAGAUGGUUUGAGUCGUACUCCUCGAAAACAGAUUAGGGUGCAUUGCCAAGCUAGAUUUCAGAUCAAUUACAAUGAUGGGAGUAGAGUUUAUAUGGUGAAGAUAUUUGUUCCAGAGCAUAAUCAUGAACUAGCUACUGGGAACCAGAUUGCAUUCGUUCGUGCUCAUCGUCAUGUCAGCGACGCAGUUUUGGCUCUGACAAACACAAUGACAAAGGUUUCAAUCAGACCAUGUCACAUGUAUGAGUAUAUGGUGGAGCAUGUAAUGUCCCGUAUCUCAUUUAUAAAUUUACUAGUCACCAGGACGGUAAUUAACGACUUAAUUCACAUUUCCUAUCGUUUUGAUACAUUAGAAGAUCAAAAAGGUGGAAAUUUAUUUGGACGUUGAGAUUAGCAUUUGAGCUUAUGUUCAUCUUUUGGGCCUCUCUAUUUUUGGUUGGGUCUAAGUUGUAGACGAGAAGUGAUUAAAGACGUUUUGACGAAAAACGAGUUAGAAACCCGAAAAAGAACGACUAGAACAUUCCAAAUAGUUUUGUCACAAGGGUAAACUGGUCUUUUUGCAUUGGUAUUAAAAGAAAGAGGGGAAACCCUAACUCUCAUUUUUCCCCUCUUCCUCUCAGUCGCUCUCACCCUCUCUCCCGAACUCUCUCUUUCGCUCUCUUCCUCUGCUAGAGCCGAAAACGAUAGCUCCAGCCACUGCCUCCUAACAUCACCCACACCAAACGUCUUGAAUCCCUGACUCACACUAUGAGUAGACCAACUCUAAAGUGUCCAAAAUUCACAGACACUUGAAGAAUUCUUGAGAGGUCUACCUGUUUACGAAGCCUGGUCUGCUUAUUUACGAGUACGGGUCUACUUUUUUUGUGAGACAAAAUGGUCUACCUGUUUACGAACACUAACCUACAUGUUUUGUGAACGUGGUGUACCAACGCUUCGAACCACUGACUCACACUACAAGUAGAGGAAGAAUAAAGUGUCCAGAAUUCACAGACACUUGAAGAAUACCAGCGCUUCAAACCAUUGACUCACACUACGAGUAGACCAACUCUAAAGUGUCCAGAAUUCACAGACACUUGAAGAAUUCUUGAUAGGUAUACCUGUUUACGAAGCCUGGUCUACUUAUUUAUGAGUACGGGUCUACUUUUUUUUGUGAGACAAAAUGGUCUACUUGUUUACGAACACUAACCUACCUGUUUUGUGAAAAUCCAAUUAUGUUCAAACCCCAACCCAAAUAUAUGGGUUACAUUGCCACAACCAGCCAUCGAUGCCAAUCACCGUAGCCCCACUGCCUUGACUAGUCGAGGUGUUACCUUUCCAACGAUCUGUCUAAUCUCCACUCUCUAAUCAGACAGAGCAGACCAGCGAACCCAAACCAUCGACCUCCAGUUCGGGCUAGGGCCGCUGCGUCAUCGUCGCCGUCUUUGCUCUGUCGUCUCUGGCUGCUAGACUGCUCAAUCGUUCUAAAUAGGUAAUUUUUCAUACUCACCUUUGAUUUAGAGCCUCCAAGUUGUUUUAGACUGCGAAGCCUUAACCCACUGUUAUUAAUCUGGCAUGUGAGGUUUGUUGUAUUUGCGAUCUUGGAGUCUAGAAGGAGUUGCUGGGUCGGUGGCAUCCAUAUUAUAUGUGGUAAGGACUAUGCUAAGUUUUUGUUAAUAAGAAUUUUGGUUGAUGAUUGUGGUAUGAGACUUAGUAGUCCAUGGGCAUUGUUUUGGACAAGACUUGAUUAAGAACUGAGUAUAAUAAUGGUUGUUGCUGCUAUUAGGUAUAUUAAAUCAUGAUGGUGAGGGAUGAGCAGCAGCCUGUUUGGCCAAUGGGAUAAGAAGAAUGGUAAGGUCUUGGGCAUUUGGAAUAUAUGUAUAUAUAUAUAUAUAGCUGAGAUUGAAAUGUGUAGCUGAGUUUGUGGUGUCUCUAUGUGUGGGAAAUAACCUUUGGUUGACAGUAGACUAGGCUAAUUUGGAUGUGCCUACGAAAUGUUGCUUUGAUAAAUAAGAAUUGGGUAUUACAAGAGACAAUUGAAUUUGUUAAAUCGGAGAAUAUGAUUUUCUUUAAUGGAGGGUCAUGUUACUGGCUUAUUUCCUUAAGAAGUUGGCCGAAUAAAGAAUGUGGGUAAUAACUAUUUUGAGUGAGAAUUUGGAGAAGAAAAGAAUGGUUGUUUUGAAUCAACUUGCACUCGACCGGUCAAAUUGAGUAUAUCUUUUAGCUAGGGCAAGUAAAUGGUCAAUUACUGGUUUUGAGCAAGGCUUUACGAUAUCGUUUCUUGUUAAGGUUUCGUUCCAGCAUACUUAGAUUAGAAUUGAGGUGGUAAUUAAAUAGAAAGUGGAUCGUUGCAGGACGGUAGGGAGCUUGACUUGGGAAGCCUCGCCUUGGCAACAUAACUGAAUUACUGUGAGUGGACAUUUUGGUUUUAAAUACAUGCAAGAUUUUAUCAUUUAUUAUUUUAUUUUCCGAGCUUAUAUUAUAAUUUCGGUUUAUUAAUUUAACUUUAAAUCCAUAAUCUCAAAAAAAUAGACAAACUAGCCCUGCUGGUUAAUCAAAUACGGAAACGUCGUCGGAAGAGAUAAACCAGUCCCGCUGGUUAAUCAAAUACAUAACUGAGAAGAAUAAAAUAAGGGGAAUAGUUAUCACCAUGUAAAAGGAGCCUCCCAAGCUAUAAUAGUGUCCCACGCUAAGCGCUCUACUCACCUAUAGUGAGAACUGCUAAUAAUGGCUAGCUAACAAAUAAAUAUAAAUACCAAUCGGUUGCCUCCCAGGUUAUAAUAGCGUCUCACGCUAAACGCUCAGCGCUCUACUCACCUAUGGUGAGGACCACUAAUAAUGGUUAGCUAGCAAUAAUUAAUAUAAGCGACCCUAUAUUAUGGUGACUAAAAACAUACGAAAUCACUUAAAUCCAUUAAACUUCCCCAAGAUCAUACGAAUGGUACGGUUCCCAACCAUACUUGAAAAUCAUCAUAAGAGAUUAAAAUAAACUCAAUGACGUGUCCCACACGUCAAAAAUAUUCUCAAG
RNAcentral lists this long non-coding RNA (3897 nucleotides) under Fragaria vesca (wild strawberry). Its description in RNAcentral is "long non-coding RNA (FVES_LNC005482)". Lineage: Eukaryota; Viridiplantae; Streptophyta; Magnoliopsida; Rosales; Rosaceae. The record is from RNAcentral.